Molecule: ribosomal RNA, 447 nt
Filed under: Columnea purpureovittata
Lineage: Eukaryota; Viridiplantae; Streptophyta; Magnoliopsida; Lamiales; Gesneriaceae
Description: eukaryotic LSU rRNA
Source: RNAcentral
AGCUAUGGACGUUUGUUUGGGCGCUUGUGCAAGAGUUGUGAGAACCCCAGCGCGGCAACCUACGGGACCACGUAGGGGGCAGCGUNNNGGAAGGGCUGCUGCGUGGGAGCGCACCCAGCAAGCCCAAUUGCUUGUAAAGCCGCGCCGUAGCGGUUCCUUUUGAUAGUGCUCUGAUGAACGAGAGCGCUCCGUAGCAAGCGGCACGUAAGGCCCGACGAACACGGAGAACNNNNGCGCAGCGGGGGAGGGGGGUUAAAGGGAAGGCUUCCGCCCACCUAGGCUUCCCUGCCUGUUACCGGAGGGCAUGAGAAUGACACGGCGAUCGAAUUUACCGUAAGGAGCAGGUGGCUACAGCGGUGAACAUCACCAAGCUCGUUAGCGCGCUACAGCACGCACUGGGAAAAGGAAGCCACUGUAGUAAUGACUGCGUUGCCCUGGUUCGCGAAA